GAAAAAACAAAAAACAAAAAGUAGACCUUAAGUCCUUUGGUAGUUAAAAUUAAAUUUUGCUUAAAAUUAGAAGAGAUGGAUUUUGAAGGUUAAGCCAUACCGUCAAAAGUGAAAGCCCUUUUAGAAAAUAGAGAUAAAACAUGAAAUUUUGAUUUUUUGCUAAACAUGAUUCAAUUAUUAUAAACAAGACAUUGAAUCAACUUGGAUCAAGAGUCAAAUUAUGCCUAAAAAGUUUAAUCCAUUAGCAGGUAUUCUCACUUAACAAAUCAAAGUCUCAUCAUUGGCAAUGAUUAACCAUAAUUUUAAUCCCUAUUAAUUCAAUUACCUAGCAAACAUACAUGCACAUUUUUAUUAUCCAUAGAUUUUGUUAAACCUAAUGUAUUUAUUGUAAACAAGAAAUUGAAUUAAUAUGGACCACAACUUCCAUUUAUUUUAAUUUGUACCUCAUUUAAAGGAAACAUGUUAAUUAAUGACUAAAG
Molecule: unclassified non-coding RNA, 479 nt
Filed under: Hevea brasiliensis (rubber tree)
Lineage: Eukaryota; Viridiplantae; Streptophyta; Magnoliopsida; Malpighiales; Euphorbiaceae
Source: RNAcentral